This 383-nucleotide ribosomal RNA is filed under the name Bacillus sp. mrc49. Its description in RNAcentral is "bacterial SSU rRNA". It matches the Rfam family "Bacterial small subunit ribosomal RNA", at positions 432 to 807 of the family's 1533-position model. Lineage: Bacteria; Bacillati; Bacillota; Bacilli; Caryophanales; Bacillaceae. The record is from RNAcentral.
UCUGUUGUUAGGGAAGAACAAGUACCAGAGUAACUGCUGGUACCUUGACGGUACCUAACCAGAAAGCCACGGCUAACUACGUGCCAGCAGCCGCGGUAAUACGUAGGUGGCAAGCGUUGUCCGGAAUUAUUGGGCGUAAAGCGCGCGCAGGUGGUUCCUUAAGUCUGAUGUGAAAGCCCACGGCUCAACCGUGGAGGGUAAUUGGAAACUGGGGAACUUGAGUGCAGAAGAGGAAAGUGGAAUUCCAAGUGUAGCGGUGAAAUGCGUAGAGAUUUGGAGGAACACCAGUGGCGAAGGCGACUUUCUGGUCUGUAACUGACACUGAGGCGCGAAAGCGUGGGGAGCAAACAGGAUUAGAUACCCUGGUAGUCCACGCCGUAAAC